Molecule: ribosomal RNA, 116 nt
Filed under: Salmonella enterica subsp. enterica serovar Muenchen
Lineage: Bacteria; Pseudomonadati; Pseudomonadota; Gammaproteobacteria; Enterobacterales; Enterobacteriaceae
Also listed under: 6 other names
Source: RNAcentral
CCUGGCGGCACUAGCGCGGUGGUCCCACCUGACCCCAUGCCGAACUCAGAAGUGAAACGCCGUAGCGCCAAUGGUAGUGUGGGGUCUCCCCAUGCGAGAGUAGGGAACUGCCAGGC